GGCACCAGUUGCUGAGAAUAUUCUCAGCGCAACUUAAUGAGUGCUUCAUAGAAAAACCUAUAAAGCCUUGUGUAAGCCUCUACUGGCUUCCAUAAACCAGGAAGGAAGAGCUUUGCCUUCGUAGCCCAGCUUACGCUGAGUGAUGGUAAAGCUGAGCGAGCGAGCUCAUAUGUUUAAUUAAUUUCAGAUUAUUGCUUCCUGCCUCGUGAGUCUAGAAUGGAAACUUCUCCAGGAUCUGUGCUCCCUCCCCUAAAACCUGUGCUGGGAAGGAUUAAACCUCUCCAUCCUCCCACACUCCUUGCUCUGCACCCCUCUGAGGUGGCUGUGCCAACACGAUCUGGUCACUGGAGCUGUUACACGCUCAGUUUGCUUUACAGGCAAGAAUGGCUUUUACAAGGUCUCCGUGUCUCCAGAGCUGAUGAUGCAAGCCCGUACGCAGCUGUCUCCUUCAAUAAAAUAAAGACUUAAAGUAGGCAAAUCUGACGCUUUCCCCAGCCGAUGACUGUGGCAGAGCUGGCAGGCACCCAGCCAACACAGCGCAAAUCCAUGCCACUGAUGCUGCACCCUGACCUCCCAGAACCUUGUCCUGGCCAGCCCCAGCACCCAGCACCCCCAGCCCUGGCACCCAGUGCCCCCAGUCCCAGCAGCAUCCCCAAGUCAGCACCGACACCAUGAGAGCUGGUCUGCCUUGUGUGAGCUCAGUCCUGCAGCAUGAGGAGCCAGACUCCUUUCAGUUUGCAGUCCUGCUAAUCUUGUCACACGCUGCAACGAGCUGAAAGUUUGGUGGGAAACAUCUGCUUUGGUCCCUGUUCGCUGCCCUGUGAUGCUCAGCCUGAUGCAGACCCCCUGUGACAGUGACCUUGUCUGACCAGCUGCUGUGAGACUGAUUGAGCAUCUUCCAGCCACGGAGGAAGAAAUAAACUGAGGGGGAACCAAAAAAAUUAAGGAGAAACAUGAAAACACCUGAAAACCUGUGAGGAACAUGCUACCUCCUGCUUGCAGCCCUUUCUGCUCGUCGUGCACCCCUCUGACCUUCUGCAGGUGCUGGCUGGGGAUGGAGGCACUGCUCGUCCCGAGCCCCUACAACGCCCGGUGCUGCCCUUGCAUCAGCUUCAGCCUUGGGGUGCAGAAAUCCCACCUGGAGGGACUUGGCUCCAUCAUUAACGCUUUGCCCUUUAAAAUGCUCAUCACGCAGCGAGCGCUGAGCCGAGGAGCUCCUCACCGGCACAGAGCAGCUGCGAUGCCGUUAUCCUGCUUUACCCACUCGUGUUGCACACAGUCCUGCUGGAUGAAGAGGUGUUAA
This 1303-nucleotide long non-coding RNA is filed under the name Anas platyrhynchos platyrhynchos (common mallard). RNAcentral's name for it is "lncRNA (ENSAPLG00000026667.1)". The record is from RNAcentral. Lineage: Eukaryota; Metazoa; Chordata; Aves; Anseriformes; Anatidae.